RNAcentral lists this ribosomal RNA (477 nucleotides) under uncultured bacterium. RNAcentral's name for it is "bacterial SSU rRNA". It matches the Rfam family "Bacterial small subunit ribosomal RNA", at positions 15 to 518 of the family's 1533-position model. The record is from RNAcentral.
GAUCCUGGCUCAGGAUUAACGCUGGCGGCGUGCCUAAUACAUGCAAGUCGAAUGGUAGCAAUACCAUGGCGAACGGGUGAGUAACACGUAGGUAACCUGUCUUUAAGCCGAGGAUAACCAUUGGAAACGAUGGAUAAUACUGGAUAGGACAUUUGAAGGCAUCUUUAGAUGUUUAAAGAUUUAUCACUUAGAGAGGGGCCUGCGGCGCAUUAGCUAGUUGGUGAGGUGAAGGCUUACCAAGGCGAUGAUGCGUAGCCGGACUGAGAGGUUGAACGGCCACAAUGGAACUGAGAACGGUCCAUACUCCUACGGGAGGCAGCAGUAGGGAAUUUUCGGCAAUGGGCGGAAGCCUGAACCCGAGCAACGCCGCGUGAACGAAGAAGUAUUUCGGUAUGUAAAGUUCUUUUAUUAGGGACGAAAAGACAGAUUGACGGUACCUAAUGAAUAAGCUCCGGCUAACUACGUGCCAGCAGCUGC